RNAcentral lists this ribosomal RNA (494 nucleotides) under uncultured bacterium. Its description in RNAcentral is "partial 16S ribosomal RNA". It matches the Rfam family "Bacterial small subunit ribosomal RNA", at positions 28 to 507 of the family's 1533-position model. The record is from RNAcentral.
GACGAACGCUGGCGGCGUGCCUAAUACAUGCAAGUCGAACGGUUUAGUUCCAAGAGGCUUGCCUUUUGGAACUAGACAGUGGCGGACGGGUGAGUAACACGUAGGCAACCUACCUGUCAAACCGGGAUAACCUCGGGAAACCGAAGCUAAACCCGGAUAAGCUCCUUUUUCGCAUGAAGGGGGAGUGAAAAGGUGCGACCUGAUGACAGAUGGGCCUGCGGCGCAUUAGCUAGUAGGUAGGGUAACGGCCUACCUAGGCGAUGAUGCGUAGCCGACCUGAGAGGGCGUACGGCCACACUGGGACUGAGAUACGGCCCAGACUCCUACGGGAGGCAGCAGUAGGGAAUCUUCGGCAAUGGGCGAAAGCCUGACCGAGCAACGCCGCGUGUGUGAGGAAGGCCUUCGGGUUGUAAAACUCUGUUGUUUGGGAAGAAGGGAAAGGGUAGGACCCUUAGGUGACGGUACCAAACGAGAAAGCCCCGGCUAACUACGUG